AUGACCAUCUUCUACGGCGGGCAGGUGCUGGUGCUCGACGAGGUCCCGGACGACAGGGCGGCCGAGCUGCUCCGUGUCGCUGCUGUCUCAGGCACCACGCGAGGGUACUGCGAGGCGGCCGACGGCGACCUGCCCAUGGCGAGGAAAGCGUCGCUGCAGAGGUUCAUGGAGAAGCGCAAGGGAAGGCUCGCCGCUCGCGCCGUCCCCUACAACCGGCCCGACGGCGACGCAGCCUCCUGUAACCGUCUCACGCUUACGCUCUGA
This 264-nucleotide ribosomal RNA is filed under the name Triticum aestivum (bread wheat). RNAcentral's name for it is "partial small subunit ribosomal RNA". Lineage: Eukaryota; Viridiplantae; Streptophyta; Magnoliopsida; Poales; Poaceae. The record is from RNAcentral.